UCCCUGGAGGACUAUUGGUUAGGCCACAGCACUCUCACCAGUGCAGCUGGGGUUCGAGUCCCGGCCAGGGAA
This 72-nucleotide transfer RNA is filed under the name Pangasianodon hypophthalmus (striped catfish). RNAcentral describes it as "tRNA-Glu". The record is from RNAcentral. Lineage: Eukaryota; Metazoa; Chordata; Actinopteri; Siluriformes; Pangasiidae.